This 1241-nucleotide ribosomal RNA is filed under the name metagenome. RNAcentral describes it as "bacterial LSU rRNA". It matches the Rfam family "Bacterial large subunit ribosomal RNA", at positions 1564 to 2815 of the family's 2925-position model. The record is from RNAcentral.
UGAAUACGAGAUGCUAAGGCGUCGAAGUAGUGUAUGUCAUGCUUCCAAGAAAAGCUUGCACUGCCAUAAAUAAAAAGUGCCUGUACCAUAACCGACACAGGUGGGUAAGUAGAGUAUACUAAGGGGCGCGAGAUAACUCUCUCUAAGGAACUCGGCAAAAUGACUCCGUAACUUCGGGAGAAGGAGUGCCUUAUUUUUAAGGUUGCAAUAACAAGAUCCAAGCAACUGUUUAUCAAAAACACAGGUCUCCGCUAAGUCGUAAGACGAUGUAUGGGGGCUGACGCCUGCCCAGUGCCAGAAGGUUAAAGAAGUCGGUUAGCAAUUGCGAAGCUGGUAACUGAAGCUCUGGUGAACGGCGGCCGUAACGAUAACGGUCCUAAGGUAGCGAAAUUCCUUGUCGGGUAAGUUCCGACCCGCACGAAAGGCGUAAUGAUUUGGAUGCUGUCUCGGAGAGAGGCUCGGUGAAAUAGACUUGUCUGUGAAGAUGCGGACUACCUGCACCAGGACAGAAAGACCCUAUGAAGCUUUACUGUAACUUGAAAUUGAAAUUGGACUUUAUUCGCGCAGUAUAGGUGGGAGGCGUUGAUUAUAAUCUUGUGGGAUUAUUGGAGCCAUCAGUGAGAUACCACUCUUGUAAUGUUAGAUUUCUAACUUUGAAUCAUUAUCUGGUCAAAGGACAAUUUCAGGCGGGCAGUUUGACUGGGGCGGUCGCCUCCUAAAUGGUAACGGAGGCGUACAAAGGUUUCCUCUGAACGGUUAGAAAUCGUAUCUAGAGUGUAAAGGCAUAAGGAAGCUUGACUGUGAGACCUACAAGUCGAGCAGGGACGAAAGUCGGUCUUAGUGAUCUGACGGUACUGAGUGGAAAGGCCGUCACUCAACGGAUAAAAGUUACUCUAGGAUAACAGGCUGAUCUCCCCCAAGAGUUCACAUCGACGGGGAGGUUUGGCACCUCGAUGUCGGCUCAUCGCAUCCUGGGGCGGUAGUACGUCCCAAGGGUUGGGCUGUUCGCCCAUGAAAGCGGUACGCGAGCUGGGUUCAGAACGUCGUGAGACAGUUCGGUCCAUAUCCGGUGUAGGCGUUAGAAUAUUGAGAGGAGCCUUCUUUAGUACGAGAGGACCGAGAAGGACAUACCUCUGGUGUACCAGUUAUCGUGCCAACGGUAAACGCUGGGUAGCUAUGUAUGGAGUGGAUAACCGCUGAAAGCAUCUAAGUGGGAAGCCCACCUCAAGAUAAGUAUUCUC